Cydia splendana is the source of this 499-nucleotide long non-coding RNA. RefSeq lists it as uncharacterized. The record is from RefSeq and is a predicted model, not a curated record. Lineage: Eukaryota; Metazoa; Arthropoda; Insecta; Lepidoptera; Tortricidae. The transcript has 3 exons.
UAUCGUAAACAGCUUUAAGAAACACUUGCAGCCCAUUUGAUAUGACGGACGAAGAGUUUCGGCAUAUUUACAGAGUGCGUAAGGAGUGUGCAGUGCAUUUACUUAUGUGCCGAAUUUAACGCCGAGCUUCAAAACGGUGAUGGGUUACCUACCAAAACAUCUCAAAGGUUCUAACAGUAUACACCACACCAGCAGCACACCUACACCAGCAGCAGCAGCAGCAGCUGCUGGUGUGUAACAGUUACACCUGCUAGCUGAUGGCAAUUAACUACCAACGUGGGACUAGUCAAGAUCAUGGCUUGUCCAUUGGAGCACUACUGACUGGAUUGGCCACACUACUGUAAGCCUGAACCUCGAGCAGUUUGUAGAUGCUGUAAACAGAAGAAAACUUCUCGUGGAUCAAGGGAAAAAUUAGAGAAGACGCUCCUAAAAAACUUCCUAAGCAUGCAAGCAUGCACAAAACCGGCUCUUAAUAAGCUUAAUAAAUACAUAUUUCGCC